This 214-nucleotide unclassified non-coding RNA is filed under the name uncultured Tomentella. RNAcentral describes it as "sequence contains ITS2". Lineage: Eukaryota; Fungi; Basidiomycota; Agaricomycetes; Thelephorales; Thelephoraceae. The record is from RNAcentral.
ACACCUCAACUCUCAUGGUUUUUCCGUGAUGAGCUUGGACUUUGGGGGUCUUGCCGGCCUGCCGUCGGCUCCUCUCAAAUGAAUCAGCUUGCCAGUGUCUGGUGGCGUCACGGGUGUGAUAACUAUCUACGCUUGUGGCUAUCCACCGGGUAACCUUCGGUCUGAAGGUUCACUGGAGCUCAUAGAGGCCCUUUGUGUGGGCAGCUUCUCGAAC